This 1479-nucleotide ribosomal RNA is filed under the name uncultured bacterium. RNAcentral's name for it is "bacterial SSU rRNA". It matches the Rfam family "Bacterial small subunit ribosomal RNA". The record is from RNAcentral.
GAGUUUGAUCAUGGCUCAGGAUGAACGCUAGCGGGAGGCCUAACACAUGCAAGCCGAGCGGUAUUUGUUCUUCGGAACAGAGAGAGCGGCGUACGGGUGCGGAACACGUGUGCAACCUGCCUUUAUCUGGGGGAUAGCCUUUCGAAAGGAAGAUUAAUACCCCAUAAUAUAUUUGAUGGCAUCAUUGAAUAUUGAAAACUCCGGUGGAUAGAGAUGGGCACGCGCAAGAUUAGAUAGUUGGUAGGGUAACGGCCUACCAAGUCAAUGAUCUUUAGGGGGCCUGAGAGGGUGAUCCCCCACACUGGUACUGAGACACGGACCAGACUCCUACGGGAGGCAGCAGUGAGGAAUAUUGGACAAUGGGUGCAAGCCUGAUCCAGCCAUCCCGCGUGAAGGACUAAGGCCCUAUGGGUUGUAAACUUCUUUUAUACUGGGAUAAACCUACUUACGUGUAAGUAGCUGAAGGUACAGUAUGAAUAAGCACCGGCUAACUCCGUGCCAGCAGCCGCGGUAAUACGGAGGGUGCAAGCGUUAUCCGGAUUUAUUGGGUUUAAAGGGUCCGUAGGCGGAUUCGUAAGUCAGUGGUGAAAUCUCAUAGCUUAACUAUGAAACUGCCAUUGAUACUGCGAGUCUUGAGUGAGAUUGAGGUAGCUGGAAUAAGUAGUGUAGCGGUGAAAUGCAUAGAUAUUACUUAGAACACCAAUUGCGAAGGCAGGUUACCAAGUCUUAACUGACGCUGAGGGACGAAAGCGUGGGGAGCGAACAGGAUUAGAUACCCUGGUAGUCCACGCCGUAAACGAUGCUAACUCGUUUUUGGGUCUUCGGAUUCAGAGACUAAGCGAAAGUGAUAAGUUAGCCACCUGGGGAGUACGUUCGCAAGAAUGAAACUCAAAGGAAUUGACGGGGGCCCGCACAAGCGGUGGAGCAUGUGGUUUAAUUCGAUGAUACGCGAGGAACCUUACCAAGACUUAAAUGGGAAAUGACAGAUUUAGAAAUAGAUCCUUCUUCGGACAUUUUUCAAGGUGCUGCAUGGUUGUCGUCAGCUCGUGCCGUGAGGUGUUAGGUUAAGUCCUGCAACGAGCGCAACCCCUGUCACUAGUUGCUAACAUUCAGUUGAGGACUCUAGUGAGACUGCCUACGCAAGUAGAGAGGAAGGUGGGGAUGACGUCAAAUCAUCACGGCCCUUACGUCUUGGGCCACACACGUGCUACAAUGGCCAGUACAGAGGGCAGCUACCAGGUGACUGGAUGCGAAUCUCGAAAGCUGGUCUCAGUUCGGAUUGGAGUCUGCAACUCGACUCUAUGAAGCUGGAAUCGCUAGUAAUCGCGCAUCAGCCAUGGCGCGGUGAAUACGUUCCCGGGCCUUGUACACACCGCCCGUCAAGCCAUGGAAGUCUGGGGUACCUGAAGUCGGUGACCGUAACAGGAGCUGCCUAGGGUAAAACAGGUAACUAGGGCUAAGUCGUAACAAGGUAACCGU